CACGUAGGGCGCAAGCGUUGUCCGGAAUCAUUGGGCGUAAAGCGCGUGUAGGCGCCAGAAAAGUCCGCUGUGAAAACUCGAGGCUCAACUUCGAGCUGUCGGUGGAAACUUUCUGGCUAGAGUCCGGAAGAGGAGGAUGGAAUUCCUGGUGUAGCGGUGAAAUGCGCAGAUAUCAGGAAGAACACCCGUGGCGAAGGCGGUUCUCUGGGACGGUACUGACGCUGAGACGCGAAAAGCGUGGGGAGCGAACAGG
This 253-nucleotide ribosomal RNA is filed under the name uncultured bacterium. RNAcentral's name for it is "partial 16S ribosomal RNA". It matches the Rfam family "Bacterial small subunit ribosomal RNA", at positions 524 to 776 of the family's 1533-position model. The record is from RNAcentral.